GUCUACAAAGAUAUCGAGGCUGUGAUGGCGGCGCAGACGGAGUUGGUCGACGUGCUUGGCCGGUUUGAUCCAAAGCUGGUGAAGAUGUGCCCGGCCGGCGAACGCCGGGAGCACUGAGCGAUCGCGUUAUGCACCUGAGCUUGUCGAACUGCACUAUUCGAUCACUGCGGUCGUCGGAUGCCACGUCAAUGGCGAGGCACCUCGAUAACCCGAAUGUCUCGCGCUACAUGAGCGGAGAACCGCACCCAUACAC
This 253-nucleotide unclassified non-coding RNA is filed under the name plant metagenome. RNAcentral describes it as "partial contains 5.8S ribosomal RNA, internal transcribed spacer 2, and large subunit ribosomal RNA". The record is from RNAcentral.